UGGGGAAUAUUGGACAAUGGGCGAAAGCCUGAUCCAGCAAUGCCGCGUGAGUGAUGAAGGCCUUAGGGUUGUAAAGCUCUUUUACCAGGGAUGAUAAUGACAGUACCUGGAGAAUAAGCUCCGGCUAACUCCGUGCCAGCAGCCGCGGUAAUACGGAGGGAGCUAGCGUUGUUCGGAAUUACUGGGCGUAAAGCGUACGUAGGCGGUGACUCAAGUCAGAGGUGAAAGCCUGGAGCCCAACUCCAGAACUGCCUUUGAAACUAGGUCGCUAGAAUCACGGAGAGGUGAGUGGAAUUCCGAGUGUAGAGGUGAAAUUCGUAGAUAUUCGGAAGAACACCAGUGGCGAAGGCGGCUCACUGGACGUGUAUUGACGCUGAGGUACGAAAGCGUGGGGAGCAAACAGGAUUAGAUACCCCAGUAGUCCCUGAGCGGGCUGGCAAGGCGCAU
This 447-nucleotide ribosomal RNA is filed under the name uncultured bacterium. RNAcentral's name for it is "bacterial SSU rRNA". It matches the Rfam family "Bacterial small subunit ribosomal RNA", at positions 355 to 825 of the family's 1533-position model. The record is from RNAcentral.